Molecule: transfer RNA, 100 nt
Filed under: Mycobacterium pseudokansasii
Lineage: Bacteria; Bacillati; Actinomycetota; Actinomycetes; Mycobacteriales; Mycobacteriaceae
Description: Mycobacterium sp. MK142 tRNA-Gly
Source: RNAcentral
CGGUGCCGGCGGGGGUAGCACCGCCGCCGGCGGCGCCACCGGCGCCGCCGGCGCCGCCGGAGCCGAUGAGGAAGCCGGCUUUGCCGCCGGCGCCACCGGC